RNAcentral lists this long non-coding RNA (2565 nucleotides) under Marmota monax (woodchuck). The record is from RNAcentral. Lineage: Eukaryota; Metazoa; Chordata; Mammalia; Rodentia; Sciuridae.
GUAACCUGAGGGAUUGUAGAUGAUUUCAUAGAAGGAAAGGGAAGGAGUGUCUACCCUGCAGGGCAGCAAUUUGGAUCAACACUGUCACACCCAGGUUAUGAGAGAAUCAGUGUCACCCUGAGGAGCUCUGUGAACCUGCCUUCCAUUUCCCCAUCGCUCCGACUUGGAUGACAACAGCAUGCACCUCAUUAAGGGUUCAUCCUGUAAUUAUUCAAUAGACAUUUACUGAGCAUCAACCACACGCCUGGCAUUUCCUUUGACACCUGGAUACUAAGUGCAUACCUUUGCAGAGCUGAUGUUCUCAUAGCAGAAAGAGGCAAGAAGCAAAUGAGCUAAUCGUGUCACGUCAGAUGGUGACUCCUUUUUUAGUAAAAAAAUGAAAAGAUAACGGGAAGAGAAGUAUGGGGUCCUCUUUGGGUACAUUUUAGAUACGUCCUCUUGCGGAUUUGCUCUCUAAAGAGCUGAUGUUUGAAUCCAGCCAUUGAUGAGAAGACAGACUCAGCCAUGGGAAGAUCCAGGUCAAGAGAAGAACCCCCAGAUGCAACUUCCAGGUCGCCAUUAUGAAGCAAAACAGAAGACCACCAUGUUGGGAGGCCAAGGAGGGUAAAGAGAGAGAAGGUAGACGACAAUGAUGGAAAGGUAGGGGACGGCAAAACCAUGCCCGUCCAGGCCCUGUAAGGAAUCUGGACCUCAGACUAAGUGCUGGGGGACAAUGCUAACAUGCCUCAGCCAGGGGACGAGGUGACCUGAUUAGUGGCAGUGGAGAUGUUGCCUCCCCGCUCCCUCUGUGGUUCAGCUUUUCAACCUGCAUGUUGUAUGGCACAGAAAUCUAGAAACUGAUCAUGAUCCAAGUUACUGGGAAAGCGUGUGCAAGUUACCAAUCAGAUGAAGCAUGGGAUGCUCCUCGGUUGCAGUAACAGGUACGUGUUUAGCUUCUGCCCAUAAAAGCUCUCCUAGUGCAAUGGCUUAAGAGUGGUGGUGGUUUAUUUCUCAAGAAGGUUCAGAACUAAAAUGGUAUCUCAACAGGGACAUGAACUUUCUCUUCUCUGUUUUUCUAUGCAGCUUUGCUCUCUGUGGCUGAGACGCCUGUCAUCCUAGGUCCUCCUGAGACAUUUGCAGCUCAGCCAUAAAAGGGGAAGAACCCACUCCUUCCUUUCCAGGUUGCUGCCUGCAGGUUGUGAUCCCAUGAUUUCCCACUACCCAGAGGCACGUCACCUGGCCACAGCCAGCUGCACUUGGAAGCGGAGCCAAGAUAAAGCUUUUCUUAUUAUAAAAGGCUAGUGGAGGUCACAUGUGCUGGCCAUCAGCAGAUGGUCUCAGCAAGUUAGGAGGCUGAGGCGGGAGGAUCUCAAGUUCAAGGGCAGCCUAGGCAAUUUAGGAAGAGCCAGUCUCAAAAUAAAAAAGAGCUGGGGAUGUAUUUCAGUGGUAGAGUGUCCUGGGGUUCAAUUCCCAGUAACAUACACACACACACACAGGGUAUUAGAAGGAUAAUAUAGUGAUCUUGCUUUCUGCCGUAGCUUCCAAUCCAAUAAAAAGGUGACUGGAAGUGCCUUCAGCCCACAGAGAAUCAGCUCUGUUAAAUGUUCUGUUCUAGAAGGACUGAUUCAUAGUAAUUCAUAAUAAUGAAUCAAUUAAUUACGAAAAAUAAUUAAGUGAUGAACUGAAACAAUGCUGUAUACUGAUGAUUCCUCCCUAUACAAUCCUCAGCUCUGUGACAAAUGCACAUAGCAGCUUAUUUUCUUAUAUUAAAAAAGCUACACAAAUAAGUCAUUUUUCACAGGCUUCUCUUAGGUCUUGCUCUUUGAGCUGUUUAGAAAGGGAGAUAGAUUUGUAUGGUUUUAUUGAUAUUUCCUCAUCUGGCCUUCUUUCUUUCAUGAUUUGUGGCAUGAAUUUAAAGCCUGCUGUUUGGGAUUCAGAGGGUCCUUCUGCACAUUUAGGAAAAUAAUUACAGCUCAUUCAUUCUUACACACAUAUCUUUAAACUCAUUGGCACCAUUUUAACUAUGUCCAUGGAAAUUUAACCCAUUAUUUUGUGUGUGUGUGUGUGUGUGUGUGAUAUUAGCAUGUGUACAAAGAUCAUUUUCCUAAUCCAUUCAACAGGUUUUGAUUCCUUACUAUGUCUGCUUAAUGGACCAACAGUUGAAAGUUACUCUGCCUAUAAUCAAAUCUCUAAAAUCAGAAUAUGUCUCCAAACUACCAAGAGAAUCAGGGUUUUAGCAAUUAGUAUAUAGGCUCAAUGAGUGGUAGGUGAUCAAACAAGAUUCUAAAAGCCUAUUGUUUUCUAAUGGAGAGAAAACUGAAAUUGAAGUUGAGAGAUCAACAUCCUGGCUGUGCCAAUGACUUUCUGCAUGAUUUUAAAUCAUUCCCACUUUCUAGCAUUCGGGUCUCUGGUCCAUAAAAUGAGAGUAGGGCCCAGCUCUGAACUAUCCAAUGCUGGCACAGAAUUUCCACUUUAACUCCAGUUACCUGUGCAGACAUCACUAAUCGAUCACAGCACUUUUAUCUUUUGUGUUCAACUGAGACUUAGGCUUAAAUUCCUCUCAACACAAUCCCCAUUCCAUCAGAU